UGCUGGAUGACUAAAUAUCUGAUGAGGAAAUUCAGCAUUAUUGUGUCAGAUGAUGGCAUGAUGGUGUGCACUUUUCUUCUAGUAAGACGUUGCGAUCCAUUAGAAAAAUAUUAAGAAAUCUGUAUAUAGGCCCAAAUAGGAGUUUAUGCAUUAAGCGAGUAACAUGACUUUGUUGUUAUGUGAAUGCGUGUAAACUAUUUGGUGUUCUUACAGAUGUCUGAUGGUGCUUUGAUUGAAUGUCGCAUACAAUUUUUUCUAUAAAUUGAUAUCUCUUGUGGAUAUGAUGCGUACAUUAUCAGCAACGUUUUAGAUUUAGGAUACCAUCAGGACCCGUCUUGAAACACGGACCAAGAAGUCUAACUUGUAUGCAAGUCAAUGGGAUUAUUAAAACCUAUAGGCGAAAUGAGAUUAACUUGUUAAUGGGAUUACAAAUGGUGUAUCAAUUAUACUGUUUUUCCAUCCCCGGGUAUCUUAAUGUAAGUACUGUAGUUUCGGCUGCGUGUACUACAAAGAUAUACCGUGAGCAUACAAGCUGUGACCCGAAAGAUGGUGAACUAUGCCUGAUCAGGUUGAAGUCAGGGGAAACCCUGAUGGAAGACCGUAGCAAUUCUGACGUGCAAAUCGAUUGUCAGAGUUGGGUAUAGGGGCGAAAGACCAAUCGAACCAUCUAGUAGUUUUCCCCCUUUCCGAAAA
RNAcentral lists this ribosomal RNA (693 nucleotides) under Culicoides isioloensis. RNAcentral describes it as "eukaryotic LSU rRNA". It matches the Rfam family "Eukaryotic large subunit ribosomal RNA", at positions 386 to 980 of the family's 3401-position model. Lineage: Eukaryota; Metazoa; Arthropoda; Insecta; Diptera; Ceratopogonidae. The record is from RNAcentral.